RNAcentral lists this ribosomal RNA (492 nucleotides) under uncultured bacterium. RNAcentral describes it as "partial 16S ribosomal RNA". It matches the Rfam family "Bacterial small subunit ribosomal RNA", at positions 29 to 507 of the family's 1533-position model. The record is from RNAcentral.
AGUGAACGCUGGCGGUAGGCCUAACACAUGCAAGUCGAACGGCAGCACAGUAAGAGCUUGCUCUUACGGGUGGCGAGUGGCGGACGGGAGAGGAAUACAUCGGAAUCUACUUUUUCGUGGGGGAUAACGUAGGGAAACUUACGCUAAUACCGCAUACGACCUACGGGUGAAAGCAGUGGAUCUUCGGACCUUGCGCGAUUGAAUGAGCCGAUGUCGGAGUAGCUAGUUGGCGGGGUAAAGGCCCACGAAGGCGACGAUACGUAGCUGGUCUGAGAGGAUGGUCGGCCACACGGGAACUUGGACACGGUCCAUACUCCUACGGGAGGGAGCAGAGGGGAAUAGUAGGCAAUGGGCGCGAGCCUGGUCCAGCCAUACCGCGUGGGUUGAGGAGGCCUUCGGGGUGUAAAGCCCUUUUGCUGGGAGAGAAGAGCAUCAGGUUAAUACCCCGCUGUUCUGACGGUACCCAAAGAAUAAGCACCGGCUAACUUCGUG